RNAcentral lists this ribosomal RNA (468 nucleotides) under uncultured bacterium. Its description in RNAcentral is "partial 16S ribosomal RNA". It matches the Rfam family "Bacterial small subunit ribosomal RNA", at positions 28 to 507 of the family's 1533-position model. The record is from RNAcentral.
GACGAACGCUGGCGGCGUGCUUAACACAUGCAAGUCGAACGGAAAGGCCCUGCUUUUGUGGGGUGUUCGAGUGGCGAACGCGUGAGUAUCACGCGAGUAACCUGUCCUUGACUUUGUGAUAACUUCAUGAAACUGGGGCUAUUACCGGAUAGGAGCUCUUGCUGCAUGGUGGUGAUUGGAAAGUUUCGGCGGUUGGGGAUGGACUCGCGGCUUAUCAGCUUGUUGGUUGGGUAGUGGCUUACCAAGGCUUUGACGGGUAGCCGGCCUGAGCGGGUGACCGGCCACAUAGGGACUGAGAUACGGCCCAGACUCAUACGGGAGGCAGCAGUGGGGAAUAUUGCACAAUGGGCGGAAGCCUGAAGCAACAACGCCGCGUGCGGAAUGACGGCCUUCAGGUUGUAAACCGCUUUCGCCUGUAACGAAGCGUGAGUGACGGUAAUGGGUAAAGAAGCAACGGCUAACUACGUG